CUGUGCUCCAGCCUCAGAGGCUCUAACCAUGAGCGCUGCAAGCCUGGUUGCGCUCCGUGAAUCCCAGCUGGGGAAAAAACUACAAGUGGCAUGAAUGGAAGCCAAAGUCAAGCCCGUUUGCCAACCUGCAUGUCCAUGCCUGUAAGCCCUUCUCUUGGCCAAGGAAGAAAGGAAGAAAGAAAAAAGAAACCCAGGGGCCUGUAUCCCCUGAUUAAACACAGCACAGCACUCCAGGCAGACAUGCCCGGUGGCGGCUCCUUUGCACCAUUGACCUCAGGCCAGACACCUCAGCGCCAACAAUGGGACCUCGGCCUUCCGGCUAGGUUUGCCCCAGGCUGGGCAGGAAACCAGCUCGGCCGAAGACAGGGGCCAUUUCGAGCAGUGGGACCCCAAGACAGCAAACCCAGCCCAGUCAGGACUUGACACUUAGGACAAUAUCUAUCUCUAUAGAAUUUUAGCAUGAUAUGGCUUUUUCCCCCAGAAAACAACAAAUAAACCAGCACCAAGCAAACACAAAGAAACAAAAAGUCAGAACAAACCAGCCCUGCACAGAUGUAACGGCCCAGGAGAUGGCGAGUGUGGGAGGGAGGAACAGGGCUCCAGCACAGGUGCGAGUUCCUGGGCAGAGCCUGAAGACAGAGGGAGGGGACCAGCGCUCGGGAAGUGAAAAAACCGCGUCGCCUGGAGAUUCAUCAGGAAAAAUUAAAGUUGGCUGUGAGCUCCCGGAUCCGGUUUUCUCGAUUCAUUUUCUUCAGUUUCAUCCUGCGGUUCUGAAACCAGAUUUUCACUUGUCUGUCCGUGAGGUGGACGCUGCGGCUAAUCUCUAGGCGCCGCUCUCGAGUAAGGUACAUAUUGAACAGAAACUCCUUCUCCAGCUCCAGUGUCUGGUGCUUCGUGUAGGGGCAGCGCUUCUUCCGACCACUCUUUGCCGUGAGCCAGUUGGCUGCGUUUUCACCUUUGGAAUUGCCUGGCAUGUAAGAGAAUAAAGAGGGGAUGAUUAAGUCGAGGCCACACGGGCUGCCCGCGGGGGUGAAUUGCCUCCGUUUCUCCCAUAAGAGAGAUGUCCCAAGUCACAGAGAAGAGAGUCGUGCCCCCGUUUUUGGCUUGCUGAGAGCAAGCAGUUCCUCCAAAAGUCAUGACAAAAAUUGAGUGGGCCUUCAAUCUACAUG
This 1169-nucleotide long non-coding RNA is filed under the name Homo sapiens (human). RNAcentral's name for it is "long non-coding RNA NONHSAT119693.2". The record is from RNAcentral. Lineage: Eukaryota; Metazoa; Chordata; Mammalia; Primates; Hominidae.